This 371-nucleotide ribosomal RNA is filed under the name uncultured organism. Its description in RNAcentral is "partial 16S ribosomal RNA". It matches the Rfam family "Bacterial small subunit ribosomal RNA", at positions 527 to 896 of the family's 1533-position model. The record is from RNAcentral.
GUAGGUGGCAAGCGUUGUCCGGAAUUAUUGGGCGUAAAGCGCGCGCAGGCGGUUCUUUAAGUCUGAUGUGAAAGCCCACGGCUCAACCGUGGAGGGUCAUUGGAAACUGGAGAACUUGAGUACAGAAGAGGAAAGCGGAAUUCCACGUGUAGCGGUGAGAUGCGUAGAGAUGUGGAGGAACACCAGUGGCGAAGGCGGCUUUCUGGUCUGUAACUGACGCUGAGGCGCGAAAGCGUGGGGGAGCAAACAGGAUUAGAUACCCUGGUAGUCUACGCCGUAAACGAUGAGUGCUAAGUGUUAGGGGGUUUCCGCCCCUUAGUGCUGCAGCUAACGCAUUAAGCACUCCGCCUGGGAGUACGGCCGCAAGGCUG